CCGUAUAGGCGAAGGGAAACCGAGUCUUAACUGGGCGUUAAGUUGCAGGGUAUAGACCCGAAACCCGGUGAUCUAGCCAUGGGCAGGUUGAAGGUUGGGUAACACUAACUGGAGGACCGAACCGACUAAUGUUGAAAAAUUAGCGGAUGACUUGUGGCUGGGGGUGAAAGGCCAAUCAAACCGGGAGAUAGCUGGUUCUCCCCGAAAGCUAUUUAGGUAGCGCCUCGUGAAUUCAUCUUCGGGGGUAGAGCACUGUUUCGGCUAGGGGGUCAUCCCGACUUACCAACCCGAUGCAAACUGCGAAUACCGAAGAAUGUUAUCACGGGAGACACACGGCGGGUGCUAACGUCCGUCGUGAAGAGGGAAACAACCCAGACCGCCAGCUAAGGUCCCAAAGUCAUGGUUAAGUGGGAAACGAUGUGGGAAGGCACAGACAGCCAGGAUGUUGGCUUAGAAGCAGCCAUCAUUUAAAGAAAGCGUAAUAGCUCACUGGUCGAGUCGGCCUGCGCGGAAGAUGUAACGGGGCUAAACCAUGCACCGAAGCUGCGGCAGCGACACUAUGUGUUGUUGGGUAGGGGAGCGUUCUGUAAGCCGUUGAAGGUGUAUCGUGCGGUCUGCUGGAGGUAUCCGAAGUGCGAAUGCUGACAUAAGUAACGAUAAUGGGGGUGAAAAACCCGCACGCCGGAAGACCAAGGGUUCCUGUCCAACGUUAAUCGGGGCAGGGUGAGUCGACCCCUAAGGCGAGGCCGAAAGGCGUAGUCGAUGGGACACAGGUUAAUAUUCCUGUACUUGGUGUUACUGCGAAGGGGGGACGGAGAAGGCUAUGUUAGCCGGGCGACGGUUGUCCCGGUUUAAGCAUGUAGGCGGAGGUUCCAGGUAAAUCCGGUACCUUUUAACGCUGAGGUGUGAUGACGAGGCACUACGGUGCUGAAGUAACAAAUGCCCUGCUUCCAGGAAAAGCCUCUAAGCAUCAGGUAACACGAAAUCGUACCCCAAACCGACACAGGUGGUCAGGUAGAGAAUACCAAGGCGCUUGAGAGAACUCGGGUGAAGGAACUAGGCAAAAUGGUGCCGUAACUUCGGGAGAAGGCACGCUGAUAUGUAGGUGAAGUGAUUUACUCAUGGAGCUGAAAUCAGUCGAAGAUACCAGCUGGCUGCAACUGUUUAUUAAAAACACAGCACUGUGCAAACACGAAAGUGGACGUAUACGGUGUGACGCCUGCCCGGUGCCGGAAGGUUAAUUGAUGGGGUUAUCCGUAAGGAGAAGCUCUUGAUCGAAGCCCCGGUAAACGGCGGCCGUAACUAUAACGGUCCUAAGGUAGCGAAAUUCCUUGUCGGGUAAGUUCCGACCUGCACGAAUGGCGUAAUGAUGGCCAGGCUGUCUCCACCCGAGACUCAGUGAAAUUGAACUCGCUGUGAAGAUGCAGUGUACCCGCGGCAAGACGGAAAGACCCCGUGAACCUUUACUAUAGCUUGACACUGAACACUGGUCCUUGAUGUGUAGGAUAGGUGGGAGGCUUUGAAGUGUGGACGCCAGUCUGCAUGGAGCCAUCCUUGAAAUACCACCCUUUAAUGGCUGGUGUUCUAACGUGGACCCGUUACCCGGGUUGCGGACAGUGUCUGGUGGGUAGUUUGACUGGGGCGGUCUCCUCCUAAAGAGUAACGGAGGAGCACGAAGGUUAGCUAAUCCUGGUCGGACAUCAGGAGGUUAGUGCAAAGGCAUAAGCUAGCUUGACUGCGAGAGUGACGGCUCGAGCAGGUGCGAAAGCAGGUCUUAGUGAUCCGGUGGUUCUGAAUGGAAGGGCCAUCGCUCAACGGAUAAAAGGUACUCCGGGGAUAACAGGCUGAUACCGCCCAAGAGUUCAUAUCGACGGCGGUGUUUGGCACCUCGAUGUCGGCUCAUCACAUCCUGGGGCUGAAGUAGGUCCCAAGGGUAUGGCUGUUCGCCAUUUAAAGUGGUACGCGAGCUGGGUUUAGAACGUCGUGAGACAGUUCGGUCCCUAUCUGCCGUGGGCGCUGGAGAAUUGAGGGGGGCUGCUCCUAGUACGAGAGGACCGGAGUGGACGCAUCACUGGUGUUCGGGUUGUCAUGCCAAUGGCAUUGCCCGGUAGCUAAAUGCGGAAGAGAUAAGUGCUGAAAGCAUCUAAGCACGAAACUUGCCCCGAGAUGAGUUCUCCCUGAGACUAUAAGUCUCCUGAAGGAACGUUAAAGACUAUGACGUUGAUAGGUCGGGUGUGUAAGCGUAGCGAUACGUUGAGCUAACCGAUACUAAUGAACCGUGAGGCUUAACCUU
RNAcentral lists this ribosomal RNA (2293 nucleotides) under Providencia sneebia. RNAcentral describes it as "bacterial LSU rRNA". It matches the Rfam family "Bacterial large subunit ribosomal RNA", at positions 658 to 2925 of the family's 2925-position model. Lineage: Bacteria; Pseudomonadati; Pseudomonadota; Gammaproteobacteria; Enterobacterales; Morganellaceae. The record is from RNAcentral.